This 253-nucleotide ribosomal RNA is filed under the name uncultured bacterium. RNAcentral describes it as "partial 16S ribosomal RNA". It matches the Rfam family "Bacterial small subunit ribosomal RNA", at positions 524 to 776 of the family's 1533-position model. The record is from RNAcentral.
UACGAAGGGGGCUAGCGUUGUUCGGAAUUACUGGGCGUAAAGCGUGCGCAGGCGGCUUCUCAAGUCAGGGGUGAAAGCCCAGAGCUCAACUCUGGAAUUGCCUUUGAGACUGAGUGGCUUGAGUACGAGAGAGGUGAGUGGAAUUCCCAGUGUAGAGGUGAAAUUCGUAGAUAUCAGGAAGAACACCCGUGGCUAAGGCGGCUCUCUAGUACGGUACUGACGCUGAGACGCGAAAGCGUGGGGAGCGAACAGG